RNAcentral lists this long non-coding RNA (7797 nucleotides) under Theobroma cacao (cacao). RNAcentral's name for it is "long non-coding RNA (TCAC_LNC001079)". The record is from RNAcentral. Lineage: Eukaryota; Viridiplantae; Streptophyta; Magnoliopsida; Malvales; Malvaceae.
GUCAGCGGAGUGAUUCUGGGCACGCUUGAUAACAAUUAGUGUCAUGCUAAACCUACCGAGCAAUGUAUAGGGUGGAGCACCUCGUCCUAGGAUCCAAUCACCUUUAACUCAGGAAACCUAAAACAUGAAUUUUAAAAACGUGAGUAUAAACUCAGUGUGUGAACAUAGGAAGGGAACAAGCAACGUUAAGGAAGGUUUAGAAAGCAUGAUGCACUUAAGUUUAAAACAAUGCAAUUUAAUUUAUAUCUAUUUAAAAACUCCUCAUUCAAACCCUUGGUCGUUUAGUUACUUGAUGACAAAAGUCUCAUGAACAACAAGGAAGUUGAGAAGUGAAAAUUUUAGUAGAUUUCAAGCAAGUCAAGCAUAAUAGAUUGACUCUCAUCGCAGCGAAAAGGCAUUCUCGCUACAACAAAAUUCUAGCCAGAUAAAAAUCCAAAGGGCUUUCAUUGCCACUGGAAAAAUCCAUUCAUGCCACAUUGCACAUUAAAUUGAACACAUUGACAAUACUCAAGUUUUCAACAGUCAAUGCAAUCACAUUUUAAAUCCAAACAUCUCUAUAUAGUAAAUAUAUAUAUAAGCACUUACACCACCAUCACCUCACUCGGCUGAUGUGCAUCAUUACCGGCAUGUGCACUGCCCACUCUGCACAUGCACGGUUGGGCUCCACUCAUAAGGGACGACCUUCACUACAAGCAGCCCUUUCCUCCUUCAGCGGCGGCUCCACUCAUAGGGGACAACCCUCGCUACAAACAGCCCUUUCCUCAUUCAGCAGUGGCAACAAACGGUACCUAUCAGAGCACUAGUAGAGGAUAGCCCUCUCUAUAAGCCCCUGGGCGGAAAGUCACACUUCGCCACUGUUCACAUGUGAGAGUUCCCAGGGAUCGGGUUAAACCCUUUGCUUUGAUACCAACAUUGUCACUCAACCGGCAUGUGCACUGCUCACUCCGCACAUGCACGGUUACAUCAAUUAUACAAAAUUACUUAACAAUAUAUAUAUCAUAUAUCUUUAUAUACAUAUCAGCGUCAUAUAAAAGUACAUAGAUUCAUCACAAUCAUGUUCCACAUCAUAAAAUCAUUUCACUUAUGGCUUGUUCCUAUGCAUUUUGAAGAAAAGAUAAUUUAAACAGUUCAAGUGGUUCGUUCAAACGUAUAUACCUCUUCCCAAAACAUUUUUGUGCAGGUUCACUCACCGAUAUUUGUUGAAUCUUUACUCGACUCAAACCUCCACUAAUGGUCUAAAUGGAACUGUGGGGCCUCGUUGGGACCUAUCAUCACAACAACAUCACAACUAAUCCGAUUUGCAUAAUUAUAGUUCUAAAAGCUAUCCACUAAAUCAUGUUCAGCUAGUUAUUUUUAACUAGUUUCCAUCUACCAUUAAGUGACUAUAUAUUUUCACUAUUCUAGUCACACUACAAUGAAUAACCCACCUCAACAACAAAACACUCACCGAUCUAGCCACUAGCCAUUCUCAACAACUAAAAAGAAAUCAACUCAAUUUCACUACUCACCUUGGUAGCUUUACAAUUGAAUUUCUUUUCCAAAAGCUUUUAAACUAUCAUGAAAAUAUCACUUUCUCUCUCUAGAACAUCCAGCUAGUGAGAGAGUGUAAUAAGGAAAGGUUUUUGAGGGUUUUAUGGUGAAAAAAUAGAAGAGCACAAAGAACUCUGUGAAAAGGUACACAAAACAUGAAAAAUCGAGGUUAAUUCAAGGAAAUAUAUGGAAAUUCAAGGCAAGCUUCCAUGGUGGGGGGAGGGGUGAGAGAACAUGGGAGAGGAAGGAGAAGAAGAAGAAGUGUUGGAAAUUUGAAGAACAUCCUAGAAACUUAGAUUUUUAUGGCUUAAGUUUAUCCAUUUCUACCAAAAUUACCAAAAUGCCCUUAACUAUGUCAUUUUGUUUUUCCAUUUCCUUUAUACAAUCUUUUCACUUCUUUAACACUGAGACAAGGUCCAUAAGGGUCUAAAAAUGCUCGGAUUCAUGAAAACUUAAAAAUGUUAACUCGAGAUGCAAAAUGAUCGUUUUACCCUUUUUUGUUUCCUUCUAUUUUAAUUUAGUCCUCCCAACAUUUAUUUAACUCCAAUUUCCUUAUAUUACCUUCUUUUACACAUGUACAAACAAAGUAUGAAGUUUGUACUCCAACGCAGUCUCCCCAUAAUAUUUAAAAUAUUUAUUUACCCGCGCUAUCUUUACUUAAUGAAGACACUCGGCCCCAUUAACGUCAUUUUCCUCCAAAAUUCUCUCAUUCUUCUUCUUCCCCACCUAGAUUAACCAUAUACUCCUUCUUUAUGAAAAAUUUUGAUACUGAAUAAAAUAUUAAUAUUUUAAUAUUAUUUUAUUAAUAAAAAUUAUUUUAUUUCAAAAAUUUCCUCUUGUCUCCUCUUGUCUCCUUGGUACCCAAAAUACCUUAUUAGGCCUCAAUUGACUUCCGAAUCACUUUUUAUCUCACAAAUUCUUCUUUAAUAAAAAUAUCAUUAUUUUAUUAUUAUUUCCUCGUGUGCGGAAUAUUUUAUCCCAAACUAUUCCUUUCAUCUUUCAUCAUUUCUAAACAUCGUAAUUAACCUCAAUUAGCAUCCAAUAAGUUUUUAUUAGUCACCAUAUCAAAGUACGGAGUAUUAUAGUUCGGUUUAGUGAUUCCAAGGUAAGGAAGGUAGAAGCUGUCAUUUUGUUUGAAUGCAUGCCUUGUGAACUGAUUGUAAUGUGAGAUUAUACUUGUGCUAGCAAGAAUCUUCAAUAAUUCAAAAGAACAGGGUGCAUGCAUGUGGGUUGAUCUUAGAAAUACGAUGACUUUGAGCAAGACAAAUAAUGGGUAAGUGCUUUUAACAUUGAGAUCAUAAAUGGAAAGGAAAAAUAAGAUGUGUAUUGAUUAUUUGUGCUUAUGGUAGCAAUGGUGACCGAGGAUGUGAAGAGAUUGUGAGCUAUAUGUGGAAUUCAAGAUAAAAAUCGAAAGGUAAGCAAGGUGGAACUUAUGUUUAAAGGUUUAAUUUGGCAGCAAUGUGGGUACCUUAUAUUAUAUUGGACUUGGUUGGUUGAGAGUUCAAAGAUUACAUGUUAGAUUAUUGUGAAUAAUAAGGAUGAAAAAUGUGAAAUUAGAUUAAAGAUUCAUUGAUUAAGGUGCUGCUCAUAUAUAUGUACAAUUAAGUAUAAAUAUGGAAGUAGACAUAAUAGAGAGGUAGAUUUGUGAAACCCUGACCUUCAUAGAUGCGUAACUCAAGGUGGAACUUAUGUUUAAAGGUUUAAUUUGAGCUAAUGAUGCUAGUUUUACGUUACUUAUAAUUAUUUUAUGUCGUUAUAGGAGUAGGAUCAAAAAUAAUUUUAAUUGGUGAAGAAAGGUGCAUAAUGAAUAGUAGCCCUAUUUACAUAUGUUUUGGGUUUUCAUGUAUAUCUCCCACUAAAAAGGUCCAAAUGAUAUAAUAUUUGAACCAUUUGAAAGCUAAGAGGCAGGGCUACAACUUUGAUGUUUACCACUUUUCCAUGUUCUAGCAGGAAGGUGGUUAAAAUCUUUAUCAAAAUGAGAGGACUGUGCUAGAAGAACAAAAAUUGGCAUAAUGUUUGAGCACCAUGACGCUGGAAAUUGAGAGUCGCGACCCUCACGUAAAUUUCACAAAUAACAAGAUUUUAGUGUUUUUGAAGCUAGGACUUUUGGGGGUUACUUAAGGGACUUCUUUCAGAGGAUUUUGGACCUUUUCCUAGUGUUAAAAGAGUAAAAGAUUGCACAAGAACAAAAGGAAGACAAGUGGCAUUGCUAAAGGCAUUAUUGUAAUUUCAUGAACAAUUGGAUAAGUUUUAACUAUAAAUAUCUUCAUUCUCCAGCACCUUCCUCAGAUUUCUAGCAUUUCAUCUUCUUCUUCUUUCUCCCAUCCCAUAUUUCUUCACCUUCCAUGGGAGCACUCUUCAAUCUUCCAUAACCCUCCCAAGUUAGCCUUCAUUUUCAUGCUUUUGUGCAUUUUUUUAUAGAACCUCUUAUGCUCUUUCACUCUUUCACCUUAAAACCCUUGAAAUGUCUUAGAUCAAUACUUUCUCUCACUAAUUAGGGUUUUAGAGAGAGAAAGAAAGACCUUCUAUAAUAGUUUGGGAAUUCUUGAGGAGAUAUUCAAUUACAAAUCUAUCAAGGUGAGAAUUUAAAUUGAGUUGAUAUUUUAGUUGUUGAGAAUGAUUAAUAGUUAGAUUUAUGAGUGUUUUGUAGUUGAGGUAGUUUAUUCAUUUUGGUGUGAUUAUAAUAGUGUAAAUAAUUAGCCACUUGAUGGUAGUUGGAAGCUAGUUAGGAAUAACUAAUGGAACAUGAUUUAGGAGAUAGCUUUCCGAAUUAUGGUUAUGUGAUUGAGUUAAUUAUGAUGUUAAUGUGUGAUAGGUUCCACCGAAACCCCAUAUCACCAUUCAGGGCAUUAGUGGAAUUUGGAGCAACUAUAAGAAUCAACAAAGACAGGUGAGUGGACCUGCAUUUCAAAAUUUGUUUUGAGAAUGUGAAGGUAAUUAUACAAACAUUUAAAAGAUUUUAUCCAGCUUUUCUUUAAAAAUGUACCUUGGGAACAAGCCUUUGGUGAAGUGUUUUUAUCUUUUGAAAAUGUGCUAUAUAAAUGGUUUAUGUGUUAUCACAAUAUGAUGAUAUGUAUAAUAUGCAUUGGGUGUUUCUUUCGUAUGUUGAUGUGGACUCGGCUAUGUGCGAGUAGGAGUGCGCAUACGUCGAUGAUGACUCAGCUAUGUGCGAGUAGGAGUGCGUAUAAGUCGAUGCUGACCCAACCAUGUGCUAGUGGGGAGUGCACAUGAGCUGAUGACGAUGGGAGAGUGCGCAUGGUGAUGGAUAUAUAUAUAUACAUAUAUGUUUGCACAUGUGUGACUAUAAUGUAUGUGGAAUCCUACUUGCUAAACCUUGAGCAUUUUUUUUUAGUGUUCCAAAUUGAUUUGCAUUGUAGUGAAAUGGUUUAUUUGGGAUGAAAGGAAGUCUUUCUUGUUGCUUUGUUUCUCGCUGCAGCAAGAAUGAAACUUUCUCUGCCACUUAUCACUUGGUUGGUUUUUGCCAUAUUUUCCACUUCUCGAAUUUCAUGUUGAAUAUGAAUUCUCUAUCAUCACAUGAUUUAUCAACCAAGGGUUCAAUUAAGGGUUUUAAUAAGGACUUAAGCUAAAGUGCAUCAUUUUCAAAUAAGUACAUUAUGAUUUCAAACUUUUCCUUAUUAUAUUGCUUGUUCCCUUCCUUCUUCACUCACUGGGUUUAUACUCACCAUUUUCAACUUCAUGUUUUCAGAUCAAGAGGCAGUUGGUAACUAGGUCGAGGUGUCUUCGUAUAUUCGACCCUUGGUAGGUGUCUCGGCAUUCAAUAGCUGUACAUUUCUUUAAGUCUCCCCACUGAAAAUCAAGUACUCUUUUUUAUUGUGUAUAGACAGACCCAAUGUAAAUUAUUAAGACGUAUGUUUAGAUAAUACAUGUAUCUUUGAUUAGUAAUGCCACUACGAGUUGGCAAUGUUUAGUAUUAUAUUAAUUCGGAGUUAUGAAAUGUGAUUUAGCAACUUUGAUGGAACGAUGAACAGGUCAUAUGAAUAGGCUUGCUUGGGCUUAGAGGGCUGUGUCCUUUGAGCCAUUGCGCCGGUCAUGGCCAGGAUUUGGGUCGUGACAAGAUUAUUAUGAGGGAUUCUUGAAAAUAAAGAGAACUAAGAACAUGGAAUAUAGACGUCACAACCCAAUUUCCAGGCCAUGAUGGUGCAAGGGCCCAAUGGGCUCAGCCCAUUAAGCCUAAGCAAGCCUACUUAAUUGAUCUUAUACAUUAAUCCAUAUUCCUUUAGAAUCCAAAGCUUGAAAUGUUCAAAUACCGUUUCUUUGAAAAUGAUUCAUAAAACCCAAUCAUACAUUCAUAAUGGCAUCAUCCACCAAUAUAUUCAUUAAUAGAUUAACAAGGAUUCUUAAUGUUCACAUUAAGUAUUCACAUACACAUAAUUAGACCUUGACCGUUAGCGGAGUGACUUUAGGCACGAUUGAUAACACUUAGUGUCACAUUAAACCUACCGAGCAAUGUAUAGGGAGGAGCACCUUAUCCUAAGAUCCAAUCACCUUUAACCCAGGAAACCUGAAACAUGAAUUUUAAAAACGUGAGUAUAAACUCAGUGAGUGAACAUAGGAAGGGAACAAGCAUCAAUAUGGGAGGUUUUAGAAAUCAUGAUGCAUUUAUGUUGAAGACAAUGCAAUUUAACUCAAUUUCUUGUCACAACGGAAAUCUGUCUUUGCUGCGGUGAAAAUCAAAUGGGAACCGUUUUUCAAGUUUUAACAUUCAAAAAUCAAUGCAACCACAAUAUAAUUUCCAAAACCUCUAUAUAUAUAUCAUAUAUAAACAUAUAUAUAACCACCAGCCUCACCCCUAACUCUAUCUCAGCUUAUUUGCACUACCACACCACACAUAGCCAGGUCAGCACAGUUCAUGUGCCCUCUUACACCGCACAUGGCUGGGUCAACACAGCUUAUGUGCACUCCUACACCGCACAUGGCUACGUCAUAAUUAUCACACAAAAAUAUCAUUUAAUGUAUAAUAUACACAUCAACAUAAUGUAUAAACUCAUGAAUUCAUCAUGUUCAUAUCUCAUAAUAUCAAAGCAUUCCAUCAAGGGCUUGUUCCCAUGCAACUUUUAAAGAAAAACCUACAAAAUAUUUCAAGUGGCUCAAUCAAGCAUAAAAUCAUUUAUUCCUAAACAUUUUAAUGCAAGUUCACUCACCUGGCAACAACGAGAUAUUAAGUUACUAUUUGUUCGGAGGUGUCUCUAACUAUUUUGACUGGCCGAUCGCUCGUUAUUUACCCGACAUGCCCCCACAAUACUCUAACUUUAUCUUUGCACUUCCUAGCAAUAAUACGAACUCAAUAUAUUUAAUUACAUAUGAUACGAGCAACACUUCAAUCAAUUAAUCCUUACUCAUAUUUAUAUUUUCCCUCAUAUCAUGAAACCAUCUUUAAUUAACUCACAUCUUAAUACAUUUUUACUAAAAUUACUUAUAUCCAUUGCUCAUGUAAUUCCUUAAAUUAUAUCACCGGCAACUUAAUUUUGAUGUCACGUGUCGACUUCAGCCUUUCUAAAUAAUUUCCACCCAAAUCCAUCUUAUAUUUCCACACAUAAUCCACAUAUAUGGCAGCAACAAUCAUUCUCACUUUAACUCGAUUAUUUCCUAGUUUACACGCAUCGUUAUCUAUCUAACUUUCAAUACUUUGUUUCUCAAUCCUCCAUCCACAAUAUUCCUUUUUCAUUUCUUUCAAAUGACAUGCCAUACAAUCUUAACAAUUUUCAACUAGCUUAUGUAAGUAGAUCCUUUCAACAACCAUAAUUUCCCACAAUAUUCAACUAACCGUAGGCUUUAAAACAUAGUGUUAAGCUUACCAUUUUCCUUUUCCACUUUGAGUCCUUCAUGUACCCAUGGGUUUAUUGGCUUACAUGUUAUCAAUUUUUCUCCAAUCAAGCCAAUCUUUGCUGCCACAAGAGAUUUCUCUAAGUCACAAACUCAUUUUCAAAGACUACUCAAGCCAAAAACAAGAAUUCUUACCGUUCCUUGCUUGGAUCACCAAAACCAAGCUUUUUUUUCUUCUUUUCUCUCUUUUUCUUUCUUCUUCUCCUAGAGUUUAUAUGUGCUGGAAAUUGGGGUUAGAAGUUGUAACUUUGGUGCACAAGAAGUUGGGAGAAGAAUGAAGCAAGAAGAGAAAAGAAAUGAAAAGAAAAUAAGGAAAGAAAAUGAAAGAAAAUUAGUUUUCCAUGGGAGAAUGAGAGAAUGGCACUGGAAGCUUCAACAAUGAAGAAGCAAAAAUAUCUUGCUGGGAGGAUAAGGACUGUUUUG